UACGGAGGGGGCAAGCGUUAUCCGGAAUUAUUGGGCGUAAAGCGUCCGUAGGUGGUUGACCAAGUCUGCUGUCAAAGGGUGGGGCUUAACCUCAUAAAGGCAGUGGAGACUGGAGAGCUAGAGUGCGGUAGGGGUAAGGGGAAUUCCGAGUGUAGCGGUGAAAUGCGUAGAGAUUGGGAAGAACAUCGGUGGCGAAAGCGCCUCGCUGGGCCGGUACUGACACUGAGGGGCGAAAGCUUGGGGAGCGAAAGGG
Molecule: ribosomal RNA, 253 nt
Filed under: uncultured bacterium
Lineage: Bacteria
Description: partial 16S ribosomal RNA
Rfam family: Bacterial small subunit ribosomal RNA
Source: RNAcentral